AUGGAAGGAAAGGAAGCUGGAUUCUUCGAAGUGAAAGUUGAUGCUGUUCAGAAGAUCAAAUAUAAAUGCUUAUGGAUUUUGGCUUUUUGGUGUAAUGUACAGGAUGUAAAAGAUGAAAAUAGCUUGCUUCUGUACAGCCUUCUCAUCGUUGCGGUUGAAUUGUCAUAUACUUGCACAGAAGUUACUAAAGAUAUAAUGCAAGCCAUGAACCAGUACGAUCCGACGUCGUCUCACGACGAUUUCCUCGACCAGAUUCUCUCUUCUGUUCCUUCUUCUUCACCUUGUUGGCCUGACCUUUCCAAAUCCUGGGACCCACACCACCACCACCUCUCUCCGCCGCUGCCGCCUAACCCUAGCUCCGGCGAUGACCACCAGCCUCCACCUUCUAAUAAUCCUCUUCAGCNCCUAGAGAUCUCAUGAUGCCCCUGUGUCCUCCAGCGGACAGGGAAAUUCUGCCAGUUCCAAAGUUAACCAGUUUUCGCGGCUAGCCCCUCCAGAGUUCUCCGACACAGACCUAGAGGCCGACCCGCAGGAAUUCAUUGAUGAAAUGUAUCAGACCCUGCGAGUGAUGAAAGCUUCAGAGACAGAGGGAGUUGAGUUGGCAUCAUACAGGUCCUUAGCAUGCUCGGUAAUGGUGACCAAAACGACGGCGUCGGAAAUCCGGCUAAUGACAGUUCCGUUCAAGCUCUUUUCAACGGAUUCACUGGAUCUCUUGGUCAAAACUCAAGUCAACCUCAACAUUUUCUCCAUCCUCAGGGAGGAACGAUGCAGGCGCAGAGUUUCGGAGCUCCGGCAACGGCGCCGGCGAUGAAUCAAACUCCGGCAGCAAGUGGUUCAGCUGGUGGAGGUACAACGCCGGCGGCACAGCCAAAGCAACAGCGAGUGAGAGCUCGUAGAGGACAAGCAACUGAUCCUCACAGUAUUGCUGAACGAUUACGUAGAGAGAGAAUUGCAGAGAGAAUGAAGGCUUUGCAGGAGCUGGUACCCAAUGCCAAUAAGACGGACAAGGCUUCAAUGCUGGAUGAGAUCAUCGACUAUGUCAAAUUCCUCCAGCUCCAAGUCAAAGUUCUGAGUAUGAGCAGAUUGGGUGGUGCUGCAGCUGUUGCUCCCCUAGUUGCUGAUAUGUCAUCUGAGGGAAGAGGAGAAGGAAAUGGAGGGAGAGGAGGUAACGGAACGGCGUCGUCUUCAAACAAUGACAGUAUGACGGUAACGGAGCAUCAGGUGGCUAAACUAAUGGAAGAGGAUAUGGGUUCAGCAAUGCAAUAUCUACAAGGGAAAGGCUUAUGCCUAAUGCCAAUUUCCUUAGCUACAGCUAUUUCAACUGCCACGUGUCACUCCAGAAACCCCAUGAUCCCUAACGGCAACGGUGGAAACAACCCACUACUCGGCGGAGGAGGAGGCCCCGCCACCAACGGCGGUGGUGGCGAGGCUGGUGGACCAUCCUCUCCUAACUUGUCGGUUUUGACUGUCCAGUCAGCCACGAUUGGUAACGGCGGAAUUGAUCCCUCCGUUAAAGACGCUACUUCUGUUUCUGAAGCUUAAGAAGUUUGUUUGGAAGUUUUUUAACGGCGUUAACUGUUUCACUGACCCCCUUUUCUACGGAGAAAAAAAGAAAAUGCGAAAAUAGUGCGUUGCCGUCAAAGUCAAGUCUACCAAAAUAAGGGUCUUUUAGUCUUUAUUUUUAUCUUUUUUUCAAUUUCAUAUGGAAAAAAAAAAAGAAGAAGAGACAACCAAGAAGACGCCGUAUUUAUGUAGACUUGGCUGAAGUAAGCUUAACUUAAGCUAACAGCAGGAAAUGCCAAUGGAAAUUAAGUACUCAUGUUUCUUUUGAUCUUUUCUCCUUAAUGAUCAUCCUUUGAUUUCCCUGUUCUACUUAAGUUUUUCCUUAAUGGAGUAUUGUUUUGGAAAGGAUAUAUAUAUAUAUAAAAUGAUGUUUCUAUAAUGGAUGAUUAUCAA
This is an RNA transcript of Nicotiana attenuata, 1956 nucleotides long. It is a transcript of the gene named transcription factor bHLH66-like, with no coding region annotated. The record is from RefSeq and is a predicted model, not a curated record. Lineage: Eukaryota; Viridiplantae; Streptophyta; Magnoliopsida; Solanales; Solanaceae. The transcript is spliced from 9 exons.